UACGGGGGGGGCAAGCGUUGUUCGGAAUUACUGGGCGUAAAGGGCUUGUAGGUGGCCAACUAAGUCAGACGUGAAAUCCCUCAGCUUAACUGGGGAACUGCGUCUGAUACUGGAUGGCUUGAGUUUGGGAGAGGGAUGCGGAAUUCCAGGUGUAGCGGUGAAAUGCGUAGAUAUCUGGAGGAACACCAAUUGCGAAGGCAGCUCGCUGGGACGUUACUGACGCUGAGACGCGAAAGCGUGGGGAGCAAACAGG
This 253-nucleotide ribosomal RNA is filed under the name uncultured bacterium. RNAcentral's name for it is "partial 16S ribosomal RNA". It matches the Rfam family "Bacterial small subunit ribosomal RNA", at positions 524 to 776 of the family's 1533-position model. The record is from RNAcentral.